This 483-nucleotide long non-coding RNA is filed under the name Mytilus galloprovincialis (Mediterranean mussel). The record is from RNAcentral. Lineage: Eukaryota; Metazoa; Mollusca; Bivalvia; Mytilida; Mytilidae.
GUAUUCCUUCCUUUUAAUAUUUGAAUAAUUAUUUUUCUUUCAUGUAAUAUGAUAACUUUAGCCAUACGUUUACUAAUACACAUCAUGAUGUCCGUGGAGAUAUAUCAAAUUGGAGACCAAUGGAAUUGAUUUUUUAUUUCAAUACUUGUGUUCUUAUUCUAUGAAACUAUUUAAAAUAACAAUCAAAGUGCAAAAGGUAUACCUGAUCAUAAAUUGGCGAUUUCACAUAUUUAAACACAUGUCAACGCAGUUUGCGACCAUAGACUAGUCUGCCUCUUUCAAUCUAGAACUUUUUCAAAAUGUGAAUCGUAUUUGCGCUGAUAGAGACACUGUCACAUUUUUAUUUUGUAAACCCAAACAAAUCCCUAGAUAAAUCAAAACAUUGAUCAUUAUCAAUAUUUAUCGUAUUAUGUACAGAUACUAUUCUUUGUUUUAGGUUAUUGCUUUGUUUUUUCGUUCCACCUUGUGUUUCAAUCAAAUACU